This 520-nucleotide ribosomal RNA is filed under the name uncultured Entrophospora. RNAcentral's name for it is "SSU rRNA". It matches the Rfam family "Eukaryotic small subunit ribosomal RNA", at positions 569 to 1084 of the family's 1831-position model. The record is from RNAcentral. Lineage: Eukaryota; Fungi; Glomeromycota; Glomeromycetes; Entrophosporales; Entrophosporaceae.
AGCAGCCGCGGUAAUUCCAGCUCCAAUAGCGUAUAUUAAAGUUGUUGCAGUUAAAAAGCUCGUAGUUGAAUUUCGGGAUUGACACAUCGGUCGUGCCUUAAGGGGUAUGAACUGGUGUAGUCAAUUUCUCACCUUCUGGAGAACCGCGAUGCCCUUAAUUGGGUGUCGUGGGGAACCAGGACCUUUACUUUGAAAAAAUUAGAGUGUUUAAAGCAGGCAUUUUGCUUGAAUACAUUAGCAUGGAAUAAUAAAAUAGGACGGCAUGAUUCUAUUUUGUUGGUUUCUAGGAUCACCGUAAUGAUUAAUAGGGAUAGUUGGGGGCAUUAGUAUUCAAUUGUCAGAGGUGAAAUUCUUGGAUUUAUUGAAGACUAACUACUGCGAAAGCAUUUGCCAAGGAUGUUUUCAUUAAUCAAGAACGAAGUUAGGGGAUCGAAGACGAUCAGAUACCGUCGUAGUCUUAACCAUAAACUAAUGCCGACUAGGAAUCAGACGAUGUUAAUUUUUAAUGUACUCGUUUGGC